This 485-nucleotide ribosomal RNA is filed under the name uncultured bacterium. RNAcentral describes it as "partial 16S ribosomal RNA". It matches the Rfam family "Bacterial small subunit ribosomal RNA", at positions 28 to 523 of the family's 1533-position model. The record is from RNAcentral.
GAUGAACGCUGGCGGCGUGCUUAACACAUGCAAGUCGAACGAUGAACCAGGUGUUUGCACUCGGGGAUUAGUGGCGAACGGGUGAGUAACACGUGAGCAACCUGCCCCUGACUCUGGGAUAAGCGCUGGAAACGGCGUCUAAUACUGGAUAUGUCCCGUCACCGCAUGGUGUGCGGGUGGAAAGAUUUUUCGGUUGGGGAUGGGCUCGCGGCCUAUCAGCUUGUUGGUGAGGUAAUGGCUCACCAAGGCGUCGACGGGUAGCCGGCCUGAGAGGGUGACCGGCCAAACUGGGACUGAGACACGGCCCAGACUCCUACGGGGGGCAGCAGUGGGGAAUAUUGCACAAUGGGCGCAAGCCUGAUGCAGCAACGCCGCGUGAGGGAUGACGGCCUUCGGGUUGUAAACCUCUUUUAGUAGGGAAGAAGCGAAAGUGACGGUACCUGCAGAAAAAGCACCGGCUAACUACGUGCCAGCCGCCGCAGUAA